RNAcentral lists this unclassified non-coding RNA (97 nucleotides) under Aquimarina spongiae. RNAcentral describes it as "Flavo-1 RNA". Lineage: Bacteria; Pseudomonadati; Bacteroidota; Flavobacteriia; Flavobacteriales; Flavobacteriaceae. The record is from RNAcentral.
ACCUAGCGUUAGGGAUUACGGCGACAUCCUUUUGUGUGGAGCCCAGAGGUUCUCGAAGGGAUCUACAUAAAAGAUACAGCCAAAAGCCCGACCCACU